UAACUCCAAUUCCAAAGCAAGAUAACGGAGCGCGGAGGGAGGCAGAGAGCCCGCUGGAUCUGUCGGGAGAGGACGGAGGAGAGCGCAGAGCGCAGGACGCGGCGGCUGGGAUCCAUCCUGCAUGUUGAGGCCGAUGUGACCCUCAUCCGAGUCAAGUGUUGCUGCUCAGCGUUUCACGGAGACGCAGCACGCCAAAGGGGCGCUUAAGAAGAAGGCGCGCGGCGGUGCGAGGGAGGAGAAACAAAACAAGAAGCCCAAAUUCUUUGCCAAGUUCUUCCAAUCGACCGAUUGGUUCCCUGUUCCGUCACCGGA
Molecule: long non-coding RNA, 312 nt
Filed under: Oryzias javanicus (javanese ricefish)
Lineage: Eukaryota; Metazoa; Chordata; Actinopteri; Beloniformes; Adrianichthyidae
Description: lncRNA (ENSOJAG00000023830.1)
Source: RNAcentral